CGAAAAGAACCCCGGCGAGGGGAGUGAAAAAGAACCUGAAACCGUGUACGUACAAGCAGUGGGAGCACGCUUAGGCGUGUGACUGCGUACCUUUUGUAUAAUGGGUCAGCGACUUAUAUUCUGUAGCAAGGUUAACCGAAUAGGGGAGCCGAAGGGAAACCGAGUCUUAACUGGGCGUUAAGUUGCAGGGUAUAGACCCGAAACCCGGUGAUCUAGCCAUGGGCAGGUUGAAGGUUGGGUAACACUAACUGGAGGACCGAACCGACUAAUGUUGAAAAAUUAGCGGAUGACUUGUGGCUGGGGGUGAAAGGCCAAUCAAACCGGGAGAUAGCUGGUUCUCCCCGAAAGCUAUUUAGGUAGCGCCUCGUGAAUUCAUCUCCGGGGGUAGAGCACUGUUUCGGCAAGGGGGUCAUCCCGACUUACCAACCCGAUGCAAACUGCGAAUACCGGAGAAUGUUAUCACGGGAGACACACGGCGGGUGCUAACGUCCGUCGUGAAGAGGGAAACAACCCAGACCGCCAGCUAAGGUCCCAAAGUCAUGGUUAAGUGGGAAACGAUGUGGGAAGGCCCAGACAGCCAGGAUGUUGGCUUAGAAGCAGCCAUCAUUUAAAGAAAGCGUAAUAGCUCACUGGUCGAGUCGGCCUGCGCGGAAGAUGUAACGGGGCUAAACCAUGCACCGAAGCUGCGGCAGCGACGCUGAUGCGUUGUUGGGUAGGGGAGCGUUCUGUAAGCCUGUGAAGGUG
Molecule: ribosomal RNA, 744 nt
Filed under: Escherichia coli
Lineage: Bacteria; Pseudomonadati; Pseudomonadota; Gammaproteobacteria; Enterobacterales; Enterobacteriaceae
Description: partial 23S ribosomal RNA
Rfam family: Bacterial large subunit ribosomal RNA
Source: RNAcentral